RNAcentral lists this ribosomal RNA (363 nucleotides) under uncultured bacterium. RNAcentral describes it as "bacterial SSU rRNA". It matches the Rfam family "Bacterial small subunit ribosomal RNA", at positions 72 to 422 of the family's 1533-position model. The record is from RNAcentral.
AAGCCCCGCAAGGGGUAAGUAGAGUGGCAAACGGGUGAGUAACACGUGGGUGACCUGCCUUCGAGUGGGGGAUAACGUCCCGAAAGGGACGCUAAUACCGCAUGACAUCCUGCUCUUGGACGAGCGGAGAUCAAAGCUGGGGAUCGCAAGACCUGGCGCUUGAAGAGGGGCCCGCGUCUGAUUAGCUAGUUGGUGAGGUAACGGCUCACCAAGGCGACGAUCAGUAUCCGGCCUGAGAGGGCGGACGGACACACUGGGACUGAGACACGGCCCAGACUCCUACGGGAGGCAGCAGUGGGGAAUUGUUCGCAAUGGGCGCAAGCCUGACGACGCAACGCCGCGUGGAGGAUGAAGAUCUUCGGG